GACAAAUCAGAGCCCUUUCUACUACACCGAGGGACCCAUCAGGGUUGCCCUCUUAGCCCCUUGCUUUUCGCGGUCGCUAUGGAACCCCUCGCCAUUAGUAUUAGAAAACACCCCUUAAUCAAACCGAUUCAAUUGGGAAACAUUGACCAUCACAUUUCAUUGUAUGCUGAUGAUGUUGUGGUCUUCGUGUCACAUCCUGAGCAGUCAGUGCCAGUUCUCCUAGACCUUAUUCAGUCAUUCGGUGAGAUUUCAGGUUAUACUAUUAACUGGCAGAAGAGUGAAUUUAUGUCACUAGGUGUAAGCCUCACUUCCGACUUCUUAGAUAACCUAUUAUUUAAAAUAACGGACAAACUGAAAUAUCUUGGGGUUAUUCUGCCAAAGGACCCUAAACAAAUUUUCAAAUUGAAUUUUUUGGAAAAAGUGGAGAAUCUUCGGAAAGACAUUGAUAAAUGGAGAACACUUCCUCUGUCGAUGAUGGGCCGUAUAAAUGCUAUUAAAAUGGUGACCUUACCUAAAUUUUUAUAUCUUUUUCAGGGUCUGCCAAUUUUUUUAACAAAGACUUUUUUUAAAUCAUUAGACUCAAUAAUCCUGCCUUUUGUUUGGGGCUUUAAAGCCCAUAGAAUAUCAAAAACUCACAUAAACCAACAGAGAUGGGAGGAUUGGGAUUACCCUGUUUUCAGCAUUAUUAUUGGGCAGCGAAUGCAAGAGCCCUGGUAUACUGGCAGGAAGGUGAUGCUCAAGAAUUGUCUGCAAAUUCCCCCCCAUGGGCGGCUAUUGAAAGAAGUGGUGUUACUGACAGCUCUCUUCCGGCUCUUCUCUUCGCAGCACCGAUAUCUCCCGCAAUUAGUGGGGUAAAUAAUUUGAUCGUUUUAAAUUCUUUGAAAAUAUGGAAACAAAUUAAGUUGCACUGUAAGUUACCGGAGACCUCAGUUCAUGCCCCAGUUUACUGUAACCAUGCUUUUCCCCCAUCACUAUCGAAUACGUCCUUUAAAAAUUGGAGAUGAAAGGCCUUAAUACUUUGAAAAACUUGUACAUUAACAAAAAGUUUGCUUCAUUUGCUAUGCUGAAGAGCUAUUUUUCUCUUCCGGAUAAGGAUUUCUUCAGAUAUUUGCAAGUUAGAAACUAUGUUCGAACUAAUAUUCCGAAUUUCAUAUCUCUCCCGGAAGAAAAUAAAUUAUGCAAAAUUCUGCUGGGCUCUCCAGGAUCGAAAAAGUUAAUCACGAGUUUUGUUGACGUCUUUGCAGAGCGAAUUAACUUUACCACAGACUCCUUGAGGACUGCAUGGGAGGAGGAGUUGGGUUUGCGGAUCGGGAGUGAGGUCUGGGAGGAGAGUCUUGGGAGGAUUCGGACGUGCUCUAUCAAUGUUUAUGGAUGCGCGUUGGUUCCUGACCCCCAGAUUGCAUUGUUCGGACACUCUCCCUCUUUGAGGAACUGCAGCAUUUCUAUGCAAACGACGGUGGUGUAUGGAAUGGUAAUAGCCAAAAAGGUAAUAUUGAGACUUUGGAAAACUGACAAGGUUCCUCAGUUUAAAAUGUGGUUGAGCGACUUUACUGAGAUUCCCCAUUUGGAGAAGCUACGAUAUGAUGUUGUGGGUUUUUCUAAUAAGUUCUGUAGUAUCUGGCAGCCGGUUUUGGACUAUCUUUCUCGAUCCAAGGUCGACCCCGACACUCGCUCAGUUUCAUAGUAUGCCACCUAUGCCCUUACGGACAGAUAAUACCAUCCUUAAGCAGAAAUUGUACUCA
Long non-coding RNA from Xiphophorus hellerii (green swordtail), 1742 nucleotides. RefSeq lists it as uncharacterized. The transcript has 2 exons. The record is from RefSeq and is a predicted model, not a curated record. Lineage: Eukaryota; Metazoa; Chordata; Actinopteri; Cyprinodontiformes; Poeciliidae.